Molecule: ribosomal RNA, 253 nt
Filed under: uncultured bacterium
Lineage: Bacteria
Description: partial 16S ribosomal RNA
Rfam family: Bacterial small subunit ribosomal RNA
Source: RNAcentral
UACGUAGGGUGCAAGCGUUAAUCGGAAUUACUGGGCGUAAAGCGUGCGCAGGCGGUUGUGCAAGUCAGAUGUGAAAUCCCCGGGCUCAACCUGGGAAUUGCAUUUGUGACUGCACGGCUAGAGUGUGUCAGAGGGGGGUAGAAUUCCACGUGUAGCAGUGAAAUGCGUAGAGAUGUGGAGGAAUACCGAUGGCGAAGGCAGCCCCCUGGGAUAACACUGGCGCUCAUGCACGAAAGCGUGGGGAGCAAACAGG